CAUAACUAGAUUAGACACCGUAAGACAAAUAACCUCUCCAAUACGAAAAAUAUGUGGCCUUGUUGAACGGCUGGUCGUUUUCGUGAUUUUUAUGGAUCGAUUUAUCGUAUCGGACGAUGAAGUGACAUUAAUGACAUUAUAUUUUUAAAUUCUUAUAUUAUAAAGCCAUCAAUGAUCUACUACACCGUCCGUCCGUUUAUUACACUUGACGUCGAAUGUCUCGAGUUCAGUGUAAGUGCUCAUGGGAAAAUCCUGGUUAUUAAUAAGAUUCGUGAAAAACAUAAAACACACGAAGCUGCUCAAUAAUCUGGAUCGUCCCUGCCGGAUAAACGUUNACUGGGGUCCGCGGGUUCGUAAAGCCCGUUACUCUAUUCAGAAUACCCCUGCGGUACGGUUUCACAUAUUCAAUUUCAAUAAUGAUUAGCAAAGUUAACAUAAAUAAAAUUUAGUAUAUAAAAAAUAUAUAACACGUUGUACAAAUUAAGAAAAAAAUGCAGUCUGACCUCUAGAAAUACACUAUUAGGCGGGACUUGCAAAUCAUCGUGUCGUUUCGUAUCAUUUAAAAUGUAGACUUUGGUCAACUACGUUUUUCGUGAAGUGAUAUAUUUUCGAGAUAAUACUAACUAUAAUUAGGUGAUAAAUAAUCAAUUAUACAAUAUUUGUGAUAUAAAUUUUAUAGCGAUCACUUGAACCACCAUAAAACCAACAGUCAUAAGUACAGCGAUCAGUUCAAAAUGUUUUACCCUAUAGUU
This is a non-coding RNA of Cinara cedri, 752 nucleotides long. NCBI's taxonomy places the organism in Eukaryota, Metazoa, Arthropoda, Insecta, Hemiptera, Aphididae. The record is from the annotation of a GenBank genome assembly.